CCUACGGGUGGCUGCAGUGGGGAAUAUUGGACAAUGGGGGCAACCCUGAUCCAGCCAUGCCGCGUGUGUGAAGAAGGCCCUCGGGUUGUAAAGCACUUUCAGUGAGGAAGAACGCCUGGUGGUUAAUACCCAUCAGGAAAGACAUCACUCACAGAAGAAGCACCGGCUAACUCCGUGCCAGCAGCCGCGGUAAUACGGAGGGUACGAGCGUUAAUCGGAAUUACUGGGCGUAAAGCGCGCGUAGGUGGCUUGAUAAGCCGGUUGUGAAAGCCCCGGGCUCAACCUGGGAACGGCAUCCGGAACUGUCAAGCUAGAGUGCAGGAGAGGAAGGUAGAAUUCCCGGUGUAGCGGUGAAAUGCGUAGAGAUCGGGAGGAAUACCAGUGGCGAAGGCGGCCUUCUGGACUGACACUGACACUGAGGUGCGAAAGCGUGGGUAGCAAACAGGAUUAGAUACCCUAGUAGUC
This 465-nucleotide ribosomal RNA is filed under the name Vreelandella stevensii. RNAcentral's name for it is "partial 16S ribosomal RNA". It matches the Rfam family "Bacterial small subunit ribosomal RNA", at positions 338 to 795 of the family's 1533-position model. Lineage: Bacteria; Pseudomonadati; Pseudomonadota; Gammaproteobacteria; Oceanospirillales; Halomonadaceae. The record is from RNAcentral.